RNAcentral lists this ribosomal RNA (170 nucleotides) under Pseudomugil gertrudae (spotted blue-eye). Its description in RNAcentral is "partial 12S rRNA". Lineage: Eukaryota; Metazoa; Chordata; Actinopteri; Atheriniformes; Pseudomugilidae. The record is from RNAcentral.
CACCGCGGUUAUACGAGAGGUCCAAAUUGAUAAAAGCCGGCGUAAAGCGUGGUUAAGAAAACCCUAAAACUAAAGCCGAACACUCUCAGAGCUGUUUAAUGCACCCGAGAGCAAGAAGCCCCCGAACGAAAGUCGCUUUAUUCUAUUCUGACGCCACGAAAGCUAGGAAA